Molecule: long non-coding RNA, 1065 nt
Organism: Acanthopagrus latus (yellowfin seabream)
Lineage: Eukaryota; Metazoa; Chordata; Actinopteri; Spariformes; Sparidae
Exons: 4
Source: RefSeq, a predicted model, not a curated record
UUACAAUAUAAUUUAUCACGUUCGUACAAUAUAAUUAUCACGUUCUUACAAUAUAAUUUAUCACGUUCUUACAAUAUAAUUAUCACGUUCGUACAAUAUAAUUAUCACGUUUGUACAAUAAACUAUAUUGUACGAACGUGAAAAACUUAUUGUUCGAACAAUAUACUUUUCACGUUAUAACGUAAUACUGAUUUUUUUUUUUUUUUCUGGUGUGGCAGCAAUACGCUUCCGUACAAUAUAACUCAUAUCAGGUCAAUGAGUGAGAAAUGAGAGAGAGAGAAUCAUGAGUGACUAAAACAAAACCUGGAUAACAAAUGGGGACGGGAAAGAAGUGGAAUGCCUCUUUCUUCGUUCUUCUUAGUAGCCUACAUUCAUUCAACUCGGAGUAGAAUGACCGCCCCAAGAUGGCCGCCGCAUUUCUCCCUGCCCGGCAGCCGUGCGGCGUCUACUCUUUAUAUGUCUAUGCGUGCACCGCCCAAAGAUGUAUUUGCGCCGCCCACCUCUCCCUGCCUGCGGAAGACGUGAGGACGGCAUUGUGUGACCAUGGCAACGGCUGAGUUACCGGAAGAAAUGGCCGCCGGACAACAAACUGCGGUGCAACCGUACAUGUUCGAGCCGGAGUCCGACCCAGAACAACAAGAGGCUUCAGAAGGAGUUCAGCAGCCAAGAAUGAACAUGGAUGUUUCUCAGUGUUUGGUGUUCCUGUGGCAGUUGUGAACAAGUGCCUACAGAGCCCAAGAAUAUCUGCUGUAUUGAAAUACCACAGGUUACACGAAGACCAAGUUACAGCAGCUUCCUGAGCAACCAUCAUGCAUGCUGGACCAUCCUGGCCUAGAGCCUGUCUGCCUGAAUGUGUUUUCACUGCAGAAUGCACUGAACAUUUAUCGGGCAGACUAUGGACCUUUACGUCUGAGGGGAAUAGUGCACCAAUAUAGAUACCUAGCCUACAGAAGCUUUGUAAGCUGGUGCUGGUGCUUUCUGGGGCGAAGAGUGAGAGCUGUGCUGCCUGCCUGUGUGGUGCUGAGGAUUCAUGCAGAGUUCCCCGACGCUGAAGGACAGUACGUU